GCCUACCCCAGCCCUAUAAAGCUGCCCCUCUCCUAUCUCCCUUCGCUGACUCUCUUUUCAGACUCAGCCCACUUGCACCCAAGUGAAUUAACAGCCUUGUUGCUCACACAAAGCCUGUUUAGGUGGUCUUCUAUACGGACAUGCUUGACACUUGGUGCCAAAAUCUGGGCCAGGGGGACUCCUUCGUGAGACCGGCCCCCUGUCCUGGCCCUCAUUCCGUGAAGAGAUCCACCUGCGACCUCGGGUCCUCAGACCAGCCCAAGGAACAUCUCACCAAUUUCAAAUCGGAUCUCCUCGGCUUAGUGGCUGAAGACUGAUGCUGCCCGAUCGCCUCAGAAGCCCCUUGGACCAUCACAGAUGCCGAGCUUCGGGUAACUCUUACGGUGGAGGGACCCUCUCCAUUGGGUUCACCAUUCCAGAAUAAAGCCAUGCCCAUCAGACAGCCAGCUUGAUCUCUCCUCUUCCUCCUGGAAGCCACAAGAUUAGGCCGAGAGCCGAUCAGACAAACAACCUACAACCCUUAAGCUCCUGGCAGCGCCCAGCCAAGGCCAUGCUUCCUUGCAACACUCCUUCCAAAUGGCCAUCCCAGCAUGCUUCCAAGCAGGCUUCAUCCGUUCCUCUGGACCCUCAUCUCUUAAGACCUGCCGCCUAUAAAAAGGAUUAUAUCUUGAGACCCUAUCCUCUAAAAUUUUUUCCACACCCAAAACAAAAAAUCUCUGGGUCAAAAGUCUAAAACGCUUAGGCUGGCAACCAUCAGAUCCUUGCCCAUGGUGUCCUCAAGCCUACUCUCAUGAAAUGGACAACAGUACACGCAUAUGGGGCCAGUUCCACAUAUUUGGCAACCAGACCAGCAUCCAGGACAACACAAAGAUCUGCAAUCAGAACUAUUGAACUUCUCCAUUCAGACCGCCACUCACACCUAUGGGAAAAGGGUAAUGUAUCAUCGGCUUAGCAACAGGGAAUACUAUUCGUAUGAUGGAAAAUGGGGACAAAAGGCUUUGGUACAUAAAACAUUAUUCCUUCCUUGGCCUAAAAACUCAUCGCCACCUACAUUAAAGCUAAUAUGCCU
Molecule: long non-coding RNA, 1069 nt
Filed under: Homo sapiens (human)
Lineage: Eukaryota; Metazoa; Chordata; Mammalia; Primates; Hominidae
Description: non-protein coding UCA1:23
Rfam family: Urothelial cancer associated 1 conserved region (bases 485-559)
Source: RNAcentral